Molecule: microRNA, 20 nt
Filed under: Ciona intestinalis (vase tunicate)
Lineage: Eukaryota; Metazoa; Chordata; Ascidiacea; Phlebobranchia; Cionidae
Description: cin-miR-4061-5p
Source: miRBase by way of RNAcentral
AGGCGGUCCCUCAGAUGGUU